UUGAAGUGUGGACGCCAGUCUGCAUGGAGCCGACCUUGAAAUACCACCCUUUAAUGUUUGAUGUUCUAACGUUGACCCGUAAUCCGGGUUGCGGACAGUGUCUGGUGGGUAGUUUGACUGGGGCGGUCUCCUCCUAAAGAGUAACGGAGGAGCACGAAGGUUGGCUAAUCCUGGUCGGACAUCAGGAGGUUAGUGCAAUGGCAUAAGCCAGCUUGACUGCGAGCGUGACGGCGCGAGCAGGUGCGAAAGCAGGUCAUAGUGAUCCGGUGGUUCUGAAUGGAAGGGCCAUCGCUCAACGGAUAAAAGGUACUCCGGGGAUAACAGGCUGAUACCGCCCAAGAGUUCAUAUCGACGGCGGUGUUUGGCACCUCGAUGUCGGCUCAUCACAUCCUGGGGCUGAAGUAGGUCCCAAGGGUAUGGCUGUUCGCCAUUUAAAGUGGUACGCGAGCUGGGUUUAGAACGUCGUGAGACAGUUCGGUCCCUAUCUGCCGUGGGCGCUGGAGAACUGAGGGGGGCUGCUCCUAGUACGAGAGGACCGGAGUGGACGCAUCACUGGUGUUCGGGUUGUCAUGCCAAUGGCACUGCCCGGUAGCUAAAUGCGGAAGAGAUAAGUGCUGAAAGCAUCUAAGCACGAAACUUGCCCCGAGAUGAGUUCUCCCUGACUCCUUGAGAGUCCUGAAGGAACGUUGAAGACGACGACGUUGAUAGGCCGGGUGUGUAAGCGCAGCGAUGCGUUGAGCUAACCGGUACUAAUGAACCGUGAGG
RNAcentral lists this ribosomal RNA (765 nucleotides) under Escherichia coli. RNAcentral describes it as "partial 23S ribosomal RNA". It matches the Rfam family "Bacterial large subunit ribosomal RNA", at positions 2157 to 2916 of the family's 2925-position model. The record is from RNAcentral. Lineage: Bacteria; Pseudomonadati; Pseudomonadota; Gammaproteobacteria; Enterobacterales; Enterobacteriaceae.